GAUGAAGAACGUAGCGAAAUGCGAUACGUAAUGUGAAUUGCAGAAUUCAGUGAAUCAUCGAAUCUUUGAACGCACAUUGCGCCUGCCAGCACUCUGGCAGGCAUGCCUGUUCGAGCGUCAUUUCAACCAUCAAGCCCUAGGCUUGCGUUGGAGCCCUGCGGCUGCCGCAGGCCCCUAAAAGCAGUGGCGGGCUCGCUAUCACACCGAGUGCAGUAGAUUACUCUUCGCUCAGGGCGUGUGGCGGGUUCCAGCCGCGAAACCCCCUACUUCUCAAGGUUGACCUCGGAUCAGGUAGGAAUACCCGCUGAACUUAAGCAUAUCAAUAAGCGGAGGA
This 334-nucleotide unclassified non-coding RNA is filed under the name soil metagenome. RNAcentral's name for it is "partial contains 5.8S ribosomal RNA, internal transcribed spacer 2, and large subunit ribosomal RNA". The stretch from base 1 to 120 matches the Rfam family "5.8S ribosomal RNA", at positions 35 to 154 of the family's 154-position model. The record is from RNAcentral.